RNAcentral lists this ribosomal RNA (422 nucleotides) under uncultured bacterium. Its description in RNAcentral is "bacterial SSU rRNA". It matches the Rfam family "Bacterial small subunit ribosomal RNA", at positions 355 to 774 of the family's 1533-position model. The record is from RNAcentral.
UGAGGAAUAUUGGGCAAUGCCCGAAAGGGUGACCCAGCAACGCCGCGUGGAGGAUGAAGGUCGUAAGAUUGUAAACUCCUGUUAGAGGGGAAGAAUAACUAAGUUUGGAGCUUAGUAUGACUGUACCCUCAGAGAAAGCCCCGGCUAACUACGUGCCAGCAGCCGCGGUAAUACGUAGGGGGCAAGCGUUGUCCCGAUUUACUGGGUGUAAAGGGCGCGCAGGCGGAAUGGAAAGUCAGUGGUGAAAUCCUACAGCUUAACCGUAGAACUGCCUUUGAUACUUUCAUUCUUGAGUUCGGGAGAGNGAGACGGAAUUCCAGGUGUAGUGGUGAAAUACGUAGAUAUCUGGAAGAACACCAGUUGCGAAGGCGGUCUCUUGGUCCGAUACUGACGCUGAGGCGCGAAAGCGUGGGGAGCAAACA